UAAUAAGUGUUUAUGGCACUUCUUAAAUCCAUAUCCACCUUGUGUGCAAUGUCAGUCCGAUUUUCUUAUGGAGAUCGCCAAACAUCAACCUUAUUUUUAACUGUCUGUCUGAAAACUAUUAUGAAUAAACAAUUCAAAUA
This 140-nucleotide unclassified non-coding RNA is filed under the name soil metagenome. RNAcentral describes it as "partial internal transcribed spacer 1". The record is from RNAcentral.